UACGUAGGGGGCUAGCGUUGUCCGGAUUUAUUGGGCGUAAAGAGCGUGUAGGCGGCCAUGUAGGUCCGGUGUGAAAACUCGAGGCUUAACCUCGAGAUGUCAUCGGAAACCAUUUGGCUAGAGUCCGGAAGAGGAGAGUGGAAUUCCUGGUGUAGCGGUGAAAUGCGUAGAUAUCUGGAGGAACACCGGUGGCGAAGGCGGCAUCCUGGACCGGCAUUGACGCUGAGGCGCGAAAGCCAGGGGAGCAAACAGG
This 253-nucleotide ribosomal RNA is filed under the name uncultured bacterium. RNAcentral describes it as "partial 16S ribosomal RNA". It matches the Rfam family "Bacterial small subunit ribosomal RNA", at positions 524 to 776 of the family's 1533-position model. The record is from RNAcentral.